Molecule: ribosomal RNA, 398 nt
Filed under: uncultured Glomeromycotina
Lineage: Eukaryota; Fungi; Glomeromycota
Description: SSU rRNA
Rfam family: Eukaryotic small subunit ribosomal RNA
Source: RNAcentral
AGCAGCCGCGGUAAUUCCAGCUCCAAUAGCGUAUAUUAAAGUUGUUGCAGUUAAAAAGCUCGUAGUUGAAUUUCGGGGUCAGUAGGCUGGUCAUGCCACUGGUAUGUGCUGGUCUUACUGAUUCCUCCUUCCUGACGAACCGUAAUGCCAUUAAUUUGGUGUUGCGGGGAGUUUGGACUGUUACUUUGAAAAAAUUAGAGUGUUUAAAGCAGGCUAACGCUUGAAUACAUUAGCAUGGAAUAAUGGAAUAGGACGUUCGAUCCUAUUUUGUUGGUUUCUAGGAUUGACGUAAUGAUUAAUAGGGAUAGUUGGGGGCAUUAGUAUUCAAUUGUCAGAGGUGAAAUUCUUGGAUUUAUUGAAGACUAACUACUGCGAAAGCAUUUGCCAAGGAUGUUUUC